This 503-nucleotide ribosomal RNA is filed under the name uncultured bacterium. RNAcentral's name for it is "partial 16S ribosomal RNA". It matches the Rfam family "Bacterial small subunit ribosomal RNA", at positions 30 to 523 of the family's 1533-position model. The record is from RNAcentral.
AUUGAACGCUGGCGGCAGGCUUAACACAUGCAAGUCGAGCGGGGUGAUGGUGCUUGCACUAUCACUUAGCGGCGGACGGGUGAGUAAUGCUUAGGAAUCUGCCUAUUAGUGGGGGACAACAUCUCGAAAGGGAUGCUAAUACCGCAUACGUCCUACGGGAGAAAGCAGGGGAUCACUUGUGACCUUGCGCUAAUAGAUGAGCCUAAGUCGGAUUAGCCAGUUGGUGGGGUAAAGGCCUACCAAGGCGACGAUCUGUAGCGGGUCUGAGAGGAUGAUCCGCCACACUGGGGCGGAGGCACUGCCCAGACUCGUACGGGAGGUAGCAGGGGGGAAUGUUGGACAAUGGGGGGAACCCUGAUCCAGCCAUGCCGGGUGUGUGAAGAGGGCCUUAUGGUUGUAAAGCACUUUAAGCGAGGAGGAGGCUCUUCUGGUUAAUACCCAAGAUGAGUGGACGUUACUCGCAGAAUGAGCACCGGCUAACUCUGUGCCAGCCGCCGCAGUAA